This is an RNA transcript of Lutzomyia longipalpis, 5711 nucleotides long. It is a transcript of the gene named syndecan, with no coding region annotated. The record is from RefSeq and is a predicted model, not a curated record. The transcript is spliced from 6 exons. Lineage: Eukaryota; Metazoa; Arthropoda; Insecta; Diptera; Psychodidae.
GAGAGAUAUUAAAGAUCUCUAUAAAUAUAACUCCACAUAGCAUAUUAAAGAGUAAAAUGAAGAAGAAAAAAGAAAGAAAUCUAUUAACAGGAAUACAUAUAAACAACCUAUUUGAAACCAUUUCAAUCUACGUGCAAGGAAUGGGAUUUCCGUUUGUCGUCUGAAGUUUAUUCUUAUUGGAAAUUCCUGGAAAUUAUUUUCCUUUUGUAACGAGAAAAAAAAUUCUGCUGUUUAAAGCAAAUUUGAUAACACUUUAGAGCAUGUGGCAAUGUUGACCCAAAAGGUCAAACAGAAGUCUAAUUAAAAACACUGCAGAUGGGCACCAAAAAAACAUUUCGGGUUAAUUAUGUUGUUAAUUACAUUUUUUUUUUGAAAACUAUUUGAAAAUUAGAAGAAAUUUAAAGCCCUUUAAGUGAUUUAUAUUUAUUUGUUUAUUUAUUAUUCAUGUCUCUGUGCAUAGACGGUGAGAUAAAAUGUUAUAACCUCGGUUAGACAAGAGGUUAACCCUUUGGCGAAAGCAAUAGUUUCACUGUGGCAAGUUGAAUUGGAAUUGAAUAGGAACUUUCUUUCUUACAAUAAGAAUGAAUUUUUCCGAUUUAAUGUGAAUCUGUUUUAAUGUCCUAUUUAUCCGAAAAGGGUUAAUGGAUUCCAUUUUCUUUUUUAAAUCUUUUCUUAAAAUUUGUUACUUGUAAGAUUUUUUAUAUUCUGUGUCAAAAUUUUAUAACAACUUCUAAUUUAUAAGAAAAAAAAAGAUUUUUAACAAAAUCGACCUCAAUAUUUCAAAUAAAAAAUUAUCUUAUUUACCAUAAAAAAUAAAUUUUUUAGAGAAUGAAUUUUUAUUUAUUUUUUUUAUGUAUUUAUGUUCACAUAUUUUUUAACCUUAAGAUUUUUAUCUAAAUUAGCUGUAAAUUAGACAGGUAAAUUUUCCGAUUGCUUUUUUGGUACCUACACGUCGCGUAAAAAAAUCCCAACGUGUUAACAUGUAAUAAAAUAUAAUAAAACGUUUUGUUGAUUAUUAAUACAUUAAUUCUUCAAACAGAUAAAACCUUCCAUUGAGCACUAUUAUUAUAAUUUUAUUGUGACAAAAUUAAGCACAAUAAAAAUGAAUAAAAUGUAGAUAAAAAGAAUUUCUUUCAAUUCAGCAUGAUCAAUAAAGUUCUAAGAAUAUGAACCAAUAAACUACCUACAUUACCUACUUAUUUUUCAUUAUCACCCUCUAGCAAUGUGGAUGAUUGUUGAUCGAUUAAAAUGCAAUUAUUUUCUCAUUAGGUUGUGUGUAUUUGAUACCUCAUAAAUUUCCGGUAUAAAAUAAGAUUUAUAUAGAGUAUAAAGGUAAAAUAUAAAUAGAGAAUAAGAAAUAACUUCUUUUUUCUGACAAAAUUGAAUUUCUUAUAGUGAAAUUCAAACAUGGUAUGAAAUGAAGAAAAAUUAAGAAACAUUCAAAUUGGAUUACAAACUGUGUAAGGGCAGGUUUGCAUGGGGAGGUGAAAUAUAAGGAGAAAAUCUCACACGGAAUAAAUUACCUAUUAGACUUCACUAUAUGUAAUUUUUUACAUAGAUACCUACCUACCUAUAUAAAGGCAUUAAGGGGAAAAGUAGUAUAGAUGAGAAAUUUUGUUGUGAGUCAGCGCAGUGAAUUCCUAUUGAUUUUUGUAUCUUCCUGCAGUUUCUUGCACCUUUUGGCAAAUUAUUAAAAAUAAAAAUGUGAAAUGUGACACACCAAAUUGGCAAAUUUUGCACAUACAUUAAAAAAAUUAAAUCCAAACGCUGCAGAAAAAUAUUAAAUUGCUGAAUAUUAUUGUGAAGAAAAAAAGUUUAGGAGUUUGUGUGUGAUUUGUGUUUUGCCUCGGCAAGAGGAAAAACUUGGAUUAAAUUGAACUUUUCAUUCAAGGAGAAAAUUCUAGAGAGGCAUCUCCUGGUUCUCGCCUGAUGCACCGUCAGCUCUUACGAGCAGUACUGUAGGGAACAGUGGUACACCCAAGGAUGAAAUUUACAUCGAUGAUGAGAGUCUCGAAGGAUCUGGUGGACGAGGAGAGAUAAGAGACGAUUUAGAGAAGGAACCCGAUUAUUCUGGAUCUGGUCUUGGGCCGGACGAUGAGGAUUCAACAACAAAUCGCCACCAGACACAAUUGAAUACAAAUAGGAAUAAUAAAGAUAGAGGACGUGGUGGUUCGUCUCUGGAUGCGGAAAAUGGAUCAGGUGAUGGGGAUGAUGAUGAUGAUGAUGUUGAUGUGGAAUUCGAUAGACAUGAGGAGAAGAAACCCAAACCACUCUACCCCAACACAAGUGACGACGAAGACAUUGACAUUGAUGACCCAAGGACAAACAGAAAGGAUAAAGUGAAUACACAUCAUUCGGUUGAAUCUGAAAUUGAUCUUCAGGAGAUCGAUCACAAUCACAGUACUGAUCCUCCACACUCGAGUAGUGAAAGCAAUAACGAGGUAUUCAUCAUGAAUACAAAGGCGGAAGAUAGGACAGCGUCCUUCUUUGCCCAACCAGGAAUACUAGCAGCUGUUAUUGGAGGAGCUGUCGUGGGACUUCUAUGUGCAAUUCUCGUAGUAAUGUUCAUUGUUUAUCGAAUGAGGAAAAAAGAUGAAGGUUCUUAUGCCCUCGAUGAGCCAAAGAGAUCGCCCGCAGUGAACUCUUAUGCUAAAAAUUCCAAUAAUCGCGAAUUCUAUGCAUGAGACUACUAAAAAAAACAAUCCCAUCUUCUCCUCCUUUUCCCCUAUUUCCCUUCUAUUUUGAAGGGAAAAAGAACAUUUUUUUGAAUGUGAAAAUAUAAUUCAGUUUAAUCCUAAAAAAAAGAAGGAAAAUCAGCAAAUUUACGAUUAAAUCUGAAUUUUGAGAGAACUCGCGUGUAGGGUAAGAAAAAAAAUAUUGUGGCGAAAGGAAAGUAAUAAGAAAAAAAAUAUACCGAUUUAUGGAGCUUAUUAAAUUUUUUCAAUUUUAUUGUACACACAUUUAUAUACAAAAAAAAACAAAACAUAUUAUACAAAAUGUUUUCUUUUCUUCGUUUUCUAUUAACAAUAUACAAUGAUUAACAUAUUUUUAUAUAUGAAAAGAAAAAAAUCAUGUCCAGCCAUUUUUUUUGUGUCAAUAUUGUGAGAAAAAGUUUUUUUUUAUUUUGAUAAAUUUGUAAAGAAAAAAAAACUAUUGAAUGGUGUCUAUUUGCUGGCUCUCCAAGAAAGGAUGGGAUAGUUUCCUAAAUACAUUAUACUAUUUUUCUUUUAAUAUUCUUUGUUAAAUAAAUUUAAAAAAAAAAUUGUCAUACUCGAGCUCAGUGGCUGGAAGAACCAUAAAAACCUUCUGGAUUUAUAUAAAAAAAAACAAUCUACACUGUUUUUCAUUGAGCAACAAGAAAAUCCUCUUGAGCACAGGAUUAAAUCACCUUUAAGACAACAAAGAGAAGAAAAAAACUCAAUCACUUCAAGGCACCUGUCUACGAGAUAAUCUCAUGCAACUCUAUAACCACUUUCGAUCCUACGAUAAAUUGUAGAAUUUGUUUUAAUUGUACAAUUGCAAAAGAAAAAAAUCUAUUCAGUUUAUCCUGCAAAGAAAAGGAUAACUAGAGGGAAAAUAAAUGAAAAAAAAAUAAAGAUAGUGGGGCAAUUUUUACUUUAAAUGUGUCCAAGGACCAAAAUGUCCUUAAAAACAUAACUUUCUUGCGGUAGGAAUUACUCAGAAAAAAAAACUGACUGGUAAAAUGCUUCUAUGGACAAAAAGAUUUAUGAAAAAAAAUUAUAUACAAUAACAAAAAAUAUCGCAAUGUUUGUAAAUUAGAAAAUAAAGAAUAAGUUAUAUUUAUAUUGUAUAGUAAUUGUACAAUAGGAACACAAUUCACGCACAUGCUUCGAAUAUUCUUUUGUUAAAUUCUUCAUUUUCUUGUUUAUUUUUAAACAAUGAAACUGUUGCUUCAAGCUCCUGGCAGGAUUCUUUAUUUUUUUUUUUGCAAAAUUAAAUGUAAAAGAAUGUUUUAUGGAAGGAAAGUAGUUCAGAUUUAAAGAAAAAAAUAAAGUCAUCGAUUAAUUCGGAAAAUUUUAUCAAAGAAGAAAAAUAUUAGAAAAGAAAAUUUAAUAAAUUCUAAGAAAAAGGGAAUAUUCUAAUUGUUUUUUUUUAAUAAAUAAAUUGUCAUUGAUGUUUGGUGUUGUGUAUGCUCACCCACAUACUUCAUAAAUGACAAUCGUAAAAAAAGAAUAGAUUUUAUAUUUAAAAAAAAAAUCUCUUGAAAACAGCGAAAUUUUGGCUCCAGCUAGACUAACUUAUUUUGCCAUUAAUGGGCUCUGAUGAACCCAUUAAAACCUAUUGGGACUGAGUUUUAUUUAAGAAACAUUUUUAUUUUUCAAAAAGAAAUUAUUAGAAAAUUGUUUUAAAUACUUUAUUUUAUUGCUUGGGGCCACGAACUUUUCUUUCAACUUCGGUCUCUUUGAAGAAGACAAACAGAAGCAUAACUCCAAAACUAAUUAAUUUACAAAUGAAUGAAUGAAAAACGAGAUCUUACUUUAAAGAAUUAUUUACAGCAAGAGAAUCUCAGAAGAAAUAGAGGAAAUGUUUAAUGUUUCAAAAGCUUAGACAGUUUAACGAAAUUUUGGAGUUAUGUGCAGGAGCAUUAAAAGGAAUUAUUCCAAAAUCUUUAUGGUAGCUAUUUCGUUUAAAAUAAUUCUAUUUUCAAUCAUCGUCACAUCAAGAUAUUUUUAAAAACUCAUUUAUUGAAAAUUUCUAUAAACAUUGUAAAUUUUACUUUUUUUAUAUAAAUAAACUUCCCAGUAAUAAAUUCUACGUAUAACGGGGAUAACUCUUUCAUAAUUUUAUAUACAAGAAAAAUUAAAUUAAAAAAAAAGAAAUCUAGAAUGAAUAAAUAAGGAAAAAAAUGAAAGAUAUAGGAAGAAAAAGUAGUAGAGAUAAAUCUAUUGAGAAUAAAAAAAUAAAUAAGGGAAAGAAAAAGAAAUAUAUAAGUAAAGAAAAAAAUAUUUGAGCUUAGAGAGGAAACUAUUAUUUUUUGAUUUAUUAAUAAAACUAAUAUUUUUUUUUAUUUAUAAUGUACGCUCACACCCCUACAUUACAUAUAACAUGACAUAGGUAACCCCUAUUGCAUCGUAGAGUCUAACAUUGAUUUAUAUAAACAAAAUAUAUAUUUUAUUUUAUUAAAUAGAAUUUAGAAUUUGUGCCAUGUUUUAUACUGCUCCUAGUUAUAGAAAGAAAUCAAAAAAAAAAUCUAUAUCUAUGCCUUGACCCUUGAAAAUGAAGCAAAAGGAGUCAGAUUGUCCUUAAAAGAAAUUCAAUAAAAUAAUACAUAGUCAUGGCAGCAAAGGUCCUAAGUCUACCUAGAGAAAAAAACGAGUUCUUUGUUGAUACUCAAUAUUAUUGAAGAAGAAAAAGCAAGAAAAAUUGCAAAAACAAUUUAAUAAAAAAAAAAUACGAAAAAUAGAGUAUAAUUGCUAAAGAAAAAAAAAGUGGAUACUUAUGAUUUCAGAACCUUUUCUAAACAAUUUAUGUUUCUCCGCGUUCUUUUUAUUAUUAUUUAUAUAGAAAUCUUCAAUAUCACCUUCCAUAAAAAUUAUUUAGAAAAGAAAAAUGAAAUUUAGAAGUAAAUGAAAAAAGCAUAAUACAUAUUAAUAAACGUACUAAAUAAUCUGGAUAGAUAUAGAUAUUUAAGAACUGUAUUGUGGGGACAAAAUCAGAUGUAAAUAAAGAUUCUGUCAAAAAGAAAAAAA